Molecule: ribosomal RNA, 424 nt
Filed under: uncultured bacterium
Lineage: Bacteria
Description: partial 16S ribosomal RNA
Rfam family: Bacterial small subunit ribosomal RNA
Source: RNAcentral
GUGGGGAAUCUUGCGCAAUGGGCGAAAGCCUGACGCAGCCAUGCCGCGUGAAUGAUGAAGGUCUUAGGAUUGUAAAAUUCUUUCACCGGGGACGAUAAUGACGGUACCCGGAGAAGAAGCCCCGGCUAACUUCGUGCCAGCAGCCGCGGUAAUACGAAGGGGGCUAGCGUUGCUCGGAAUUACUGGGCGUAAAGGGCGCGUAGGCGGACAGUUUAGUCAGAGGUGAAAGCCCAGGGCUCAACCUUGGAAUUGCCUUUGAUACUGGCUGUCUUGAGUACGGGAGAGGUGAGUGGAACUCCGAGUGUAGAGGUGAAAUUCGUAGAUAUUCGGAAGAACACCAGUGGCGAAGGCGACUCACUGGCCCGUUACUGACGCUGAGGCGCGAAAGCGUGGGGAGCAAACAGGAUUAGAUCCCCAGUAGUCC